Molecule: RNA transcript, 2912 nt
Organism: Neopsephotus bourkii (Bourke's parrot)
Lineage: Eukaryota; Metazoa; Chordata; Aves; Psittaciformes; Psittacidae
Gene: TAFA5
Gene name: TAFA chemokine like family member 5
Exons: 6
Source: RefSeq, a predicted model, not a curated record
CGGGAGUGUGGCUCGGCGGGGACGCGCAGGCGGUGCGGCGCCGGGGGAAGGACUGCUCCGUGCGCUCUUCACCUGUGGGCGUGACCGCCGGCCCCCUCCUCCUCCUUCUUUCUACUUGAAGGACCGGCGCCGCUAUAGCGGCAGAGCCUAAGAUCGGAGCUGGUGUCGCGUUGUGAGGGGCGAUUUGCUGCCGGCGCCUAGCCGCCUUGUAAAGUGUCCCGCCCGCCUCGGAUCCGGCCGCCUUUCGCGCCGAAUCGGCUCCGUCGAGCCCGCAGGACAACCGGGAGGGGAGAACAGGCUGGACUCGCCGCGGGGGACGGGGCUCCUCUCCGCCCGCCGGGCAGGGCUGUCUGUCUACGCUGUCUCAGCUGCCCUCAGAGCCGUUGGCGGGUACAGCCGCUGCCAGCUCCUCUGCAGGUGCCGGGCGCGGAUUGCUCUCGCCCCACGGAGCUGCCCGGAGGAGUUCUGCCCCACGGGCGGUUGGCCGUGGCCGUCGCCGUGCCCUCGACCCUCCGUGCCCCCUGCCCCAGCGGCCAUGCUGCCCGUGGCCGGGAGGCGGCGGCGGCCUGAGCGGGGCUCGCCUUAGAGCGGCGGGCGGGCGGCCGGAGGGGCUGGGCUCCCCGCGGUAGUGUCGCCUCGGCCCGGGCCCAGCCUGCCUCUGGACGGGGCGGAGGAGGCAGGGGCAGGACAACAGCGGAACAACUUUGCACCUUGAAAAAAGGAAAGGGGGAAAAAGACUCGUGGGACUUGAUCGAAGCUCAGCACCACGCGAGGAUUCCGAGCCCUAGUAAACCUCACCACCGCACCACAGUGACGGGAGGAAAAGCUGGUGGCUGCCACUGUGCCCAAGUCCUGCAGGCUCUAGAGUUGCCUUGGUUUCUGGCUGGAAGAUGAUUCCUGCAAAAGGACCAUGUUGCUGCUGACGGACCGCGGGUUCAUUGGAAGAUGCUUUCCUUGAGGAUUACACGUGGAAAAGGGCCAUCAGUCAAGGGGAGAGCUUGCUGGUGAAACUGACUGAUUUCCAACCCCCACCCCCACUGGGGAAGUGGCUUCAAUGGCUCCAUCUCCCAGGAGAAGUGGUAGGAAAGAUGCCAACGCUUUGCCAAGCAUGUCCUCAACUUUCUGGGCGAUCAUGAUCCUGGCUAGUCUGCUGAUCGCUUACUGCAGUCAACUGGCUGCAGGUACAUGUGAGAUUGUUACUUUGGACAGAGAUAGCAGUCAGCCCCGAAGGACUAUAGCCCGACAAACAGCUCGCUGUGCAUGUAAAAAAGGACAGAUUGCCGGUACAACAAGAGCAAGGCCAGCCUGUGUUGAUGCACGAAUUAUCAAAACAAAACAGUGGUGUGAAAUGCUUCCAUGUUUAGAAGGAGAAGGCUGUGAUUUGCUAAUCAAUAAAUCAGGCUGGACCUGUACACAACCAGGAGGACGGAUAAAGACAACCACGACUGAAGACCAGCUGGAAAUGUCCUGAGGCCAUGGUCUAGUGGUCUGAGCUUGGGACUGGGAGCCAGAAACUCCUGAGCUCUAAUCCCGGCUCUGACAGUGACUCCCUCUGUGGCCUUGGCCUGUCUGAGGCCAUGUGGUUUGGAGAUCUGAUCACUAGUCCGAAAAGGAAAGGCUGUUUGCAAGAUUUCUGGGGUGUUUUUUCCUGGAAAAGGUCUCCUGACAAAUGCAGCAACACAGAAUCCUCGUAGGAGUGGUUUAGGCUCUGUGUGAGCUACUUAGUCAAGUUUCACUGCUGUUGAUCAUCAUUCGUUAUAUGUCAUCAACUCAACUGUCUGUUUCUCUGUAUCUCAUGAAUGACAGCAUAAUUCCUCUACAUUAUGAGCUAAAGUUUGUUCUACCAUAUUAAGGAUCACGGGACUAAGGAAUCUAGAAAAAGAGAUAUGCUUGGGCAUUAGCAAUACAAAAAAGUUCAUGGUUAACGUUUCAUCUGCGUUAUACACCACUGCUGGACUUGCUGUUACCUACAUGUUUUAAUUCGAAGAGUCUGCUACAAUGAAGAGUAUCAUCCCAGUCAGCCUUAGAGAAGACUGUUUUGCCUAUGGGAGGACACUGAGGUGCAAAAGAGAAACUCUUCUUGUGCCCUAAACUGUCUGAAUUGCUUUUAUUUUCUUAUACUUUCAGUAUAUACAAUAGACCAAAGAGCAAAAUCUAUUUUAAAGUGGACACAAUCUUACUGUUAACAGAGUUAUGUCAUUAAAUUGUAGGAGGUCUCCACAAAGACAUGAUUCCAGCUUUCACAAAGCUGAGCUGUUGUUGUUCAGCAGAAGUCUUUAUGGAAAACUGCAGUAAAAACUAACUCAGAGACCUACUCUUGAAAUGCCACGUUCGAGAGAACAUAAUGGAGCACUGAGUUUGAAAAACUUGGACAAAAAGAACACAAACUGUCUACACGGCACCUUUAUUCCUCUGUACUUAGAUUGACUUUCUCGUACUAAAAUCAUUUUCAGUUUUAACCAGUUAAACAUGCCUCUUCUACAGUUCCAUUUUUGAUAGUUAAAGUUGGAUAAUACAGUAUUUGCAAAGAGCAUGUUUGGUCAUCUGUGGCCUGUCUCAUCUGAAACACCAUUUAGCACCAGAAAGCAAAUUAAAGAGAAAACAAAAAGUAACACUUGUUUGAAAGAGAUCAUUAAAUGUAUUUUGAAAAGCCUAAAGUUAUAUAUUUAACAGUUUUUAUAUGUUGUAUAUUUGUAGAAAAUCCUAUUUAACAAUUAACGUGAUAACUCUGACAGUCAUGACAAGUGGUUCAGAGUCAAGUUGUGUUUUAUUACUUCAGUUGUCUCUGAAGUGACUGGUAUCGUUUGCUUUCUUCCAUUGGGACAUUCUGGAUGUAAAGCAUGACCAGAGAGGACUGUGUAGAAAAAGCAAAGAAUAAUGUUGUUUAUAUUACAUAAAUGCAUUCAACCAUU